UGAUAAGCAAGCCAUUGAUCGAGUGCAAUAUUGGAACUACUUUUUCAAUAUGCUAUAUGUCACCCACAUACAUAAUCAAGAAGUUAGUAGAACUUCUACUUACCUUCUUGCACACACAUAUGGUUCAUCUAUAUUUGAUAAAGUCAAAUAUUUUGACUGUCCCAUCAAAAAUAGAAGCACCAUCUCCUCAAAAACUAUCUGAAUUCAUAAAAAUAUUUGUCCUCCC
Molecule: long non-coding RNA, 226 nt
Filed under: Elaeis guineensis (African oil palm)
Lineage: Eukaryota; Viridiplantae; Streptophyta; Magnoliopsida; Arecales; Arecaceae
Description: long non-coding RNA (EGUI_LNC064726)
Source: RNAcentral